UUUCCGUAGGUGAACCUGCGGAAGGAUCAUUCAUAAUAAGUGUUUUAUGGCACUUUUUUAAAUCCAUAUCCACCUUGUGUGCAAUGUCAGGGUUGAUUUUUCUCUCGAGAGGAUCAACCCCAAACAUCAACUAUAUCUCAACUCUCUGUCUGAAAAAUAUUAUGAAUAAAACAAUUCAAAAUACAACUUUCAACAACGGAUCUCUUGGCUCUC
This 213-nucleotide unclassified non-coding RNA is filed under the name plant metagenome. RNAcentral describes it as "partial contains small subunit ribosomal RNA, internal transcribed spacer 1, and 5.8S ribosomal RNA". The record is from RNAcentral.